Molecule: ribosomal RNA, 2916 nt
Filed under: Pseudomonas syringae pv. actinidiae
Lineage: Bacteria; Pseudomonadati; Pseudomonadota; Gammaproteobacteria; Pseudomonadales; Pseudomonadaceae
Description: 23S ribosomal RNA
Rfam family: Bacterial large subunit ribosomal RNA
Source: RNAcentral
GUUAUAUGGUCAAGUGAAGAAGCGCAUACGGUGGAUGCUUGGCAGUCAGAGGCGAUGAAAGACGUGGUAGCCUGCGAAAAGCUUCGGGGAGUCGGCAAACAGACUGUGAUCCGGAGAUGUCUGAAUGGGGGAACCCAGCCAUCACAAGAUGGUUAUCUUACGCUGAAUACAUAGGUGUAAGAGGCGAACCAGGGGAACUGAAACAUCUAAGUACCCUGAGGAAAAGAAAUCAACCGAGAUUCCCUUAGUAGUGGCGAGCGAACGGGGACCAGCCCUUAAGUUGUAUUGAGAUUAGCGGAACGCUCUGGAAAGUGCGGCCAUAGUGGGUGAUAGCCCUGUACGCGAAAAUCCCUUUGCAAUGAAAUCGAGUAGGACGGGGCACGAGAAACCUUGUCUGAAUAUGGGGGGACCAUCCUCCAAGGCUAAAUACUACUGACUGACCGAUAGUGAACCAGUACCGUGAGGGAAAGGCGAAAAGAACCGCGGAGAGCGGAGUGAAAUAGAUCCUGAAACCGUAUGCGUACAAGCAGUGGGAGCCCACUUUGUUGGGUGACUGCGUACCUUUUGUAUAAUGGGUCAGCGACUUAUUUUCAGUGGCGAGCUUAACCGAAUAGGGGAGGCGUAGCGAAAGCGAGUCUUAAUAGGGCGUCUAGUCGCUGGGAAUAGACCCGAAACCGGGCGAUCUAUCCAUGGGCAGGUUGAAGGUUGGGUAACACUAACUGGAGGACCGAACCGACUACCGUUGAAAAGUUAGCGGAUGACCUGUGGAUCGGAGUGAAAGGCUAAUCAAGCUCGGAGAUAGCUGGUUCUCCUCGAAAGCUAUUUAGGUAGCGCCUCAUGUAUCACUGUAGGGGGUAGAGCACUGUUUCGGCUAGGGGGUCAUCCCGACUUACCAAACCGAUGCAAACUCCGAAUACCUACAAGUGCCGAGCAUGGGAGACACACGGCGGGUGCUAACGUCCGUCGUGAAAAGGGAAACAACCCAGACCGUCAGCUAAGGUCCCAAAGUCAUGGUUAAGUGGGAAACGAUGUGGGAAGGCUUAGACAGCUAGGAGGUUGGCUUAGAAGCAGCCACCCUUUAAAGAAAGCGUAAUAGCUCACUAGUCGAGUCGGCCUGCGCGGAAGAUGUAACGGGGCUCAAACCAUGCACCGAAGCUACGGGUAUCACCUUUGGUGAUGCGGUAGAGGAGCGUUCUGUAAGCCUGUGAAGGUGAGUUGAGAAGCUUGCUGGAGGUAUCAGAAGUGCGAAUGCUGACAUGAGUAACGACAAUGGGUGUGAAAAACACCCACGCCGAAAGACCAAGGUUUCCUGCGCAACGUUAAUCGACGCAGGGUUAGUCGGUCCCUAAGGCGAGGCUGAAAAGCGUAGUCGAUGGAAAACAGGUUAAUAUUCCUGUACUUCUGGUUAUUGCGAUGGAGGGACGGAGAAGGCUAGGCCAGCCUGGCGUUGGUAGUCCAGGUUUAAGGUGGUAGGCUGAGAUCUUAGGUAAAUCCGGGAUCUUAAGGCCGAGAGCUGAUGACGAGUGUUCUUUUAGAACAUGAAGUGGUUGAUGCCAUGCUUCCAAGAAAAGCUUCUAAGCUUCAGGUAACCAGGAACCGUACCCCAAACCGACACAGGUGGUUGGGUAGAGAAUACCAAGGCGCUUGAGAGAACUCGGGUGAAGGAACUAGGCAAAAUGGCACCGUAACUUCGGGAGAAGGUGCGCCGGUGAGGGUGAAGCAUUUACUGCGUAAGCCCACGCCGGUCGAAGAUACCAGGCCGCUGCGACUGUUUAUUAAAAACACAGCACUCUGCAAACACGAAAGUGGACGUAUAGGGUGUGACGCCUGCCCGGUGCCGGAAGGUUAAUUGAUGGGGUUAGCGCAAGCGAAGCUCUUGAUCGAAGCCCCGGUAAACGGCGGCCGUAACUAUAACGGUCCUAAGGUAGCGAAAUUCCUUGUCGGGUAAGUUCCGACCUGCACGAAUGGCGUAACGAUGGCGGCGCUGUCUCCACCCGAGACUCAGUGAAAUUGAAAUCGCUGUGAAGAUGCAGUGUAUCCGCGGCUAGACGGAAAGACCCCGUGAACCUUUACUAUAGCUUUGCACUGGACUUUGAAUUUGCUUGUGUAGGAUAGGUGGGAGGCUUUGAAGCGUGGACGCCAGUCUGCGUGGAGCCAACCUUGAAAUACCACCCUGGCAACUUUGAGGUUCUAACUCAGGUCCGUUAUCCGGAUCGAGGACAGUGUAUGGUGGGUAGUUUGACUGGGGCGGUCUCCUCCUAAAGAGUAACGGAGGAGUACGAAGGUGCGCUCAGACCGGUCGGAAAUCGGUCGUAGAGUAUAAAGGCAAAAGCGCGCUUGACUGCGAGACAGACACGUCGAGCAGGUACGAAAGUAGGUCUUAGUGAUCCGGUGGUUCUGUAUGGAAGGGCCAUCGCUCAACGGAUAAAAGGUACUCCGGGGAUAACAGGCUGAUACCGCCCAAGAGUUCAUAUCGACGGCGGUGUUUGGCACCUCGAUGUCGGCUCAUCACAUCCUGGGGCUGAAGCCGGUCCCAAGGGUAUGGCUGUUCGCCAUUUAAAGUGGUACGCGAGCUGGGUUUAGAACGUCGUGAGACAGUUCGGUCCCUAUCUGCCGUGGACGUUUGAGAUUUGAGAGGGGCUGCUCCUAGUACGAGAGGACCGGAGUGGACGAACCUCUGGUGUUCCGGUUGUCACGCCAGUGGCAUUGCCGGGUAGCUAUGUUCGGAAAAGAUAACCGCUGAAAGCAUCUAAGCGGGAAACUUGCCUCAAGAUGAGAUCUCACUGGAACCUAGAGUUCCCUGAAGGGCCGUCGAAGACUACGACGUUGAUAGGUUGGGUGUGUAAGCGCUGUGAGGCGUUGAGCUAACCAAUACUAAUUGCCCGUGAGGCUUGACCAUAUAACACCCAAGCAAUU